Molecule: transfer RNA, 72 nt
Filed under: Sus scrofa (pig)
Lineage: Eukaryota; Metazoa; Chordata; Mammalia; Artiodactyla; Suidae
Rfam family: tRNA
About the family: Transfer RNA (tRNA) molecules are approximately 80 nucleotides in length. Their secondary structure includes four short double-helical elements and three loops (D, anti-codon, and T loops). Further hydrogen bonds mediate the characteristic L-shaped molecular structure. tRNAs have two regions of fundamental functional importance: the anti-codon, which is responsible for specific mRNA codon recognition, and the 3' end, to which the tRNAs corresponding amino acid is attached (by aminoacyl-tRNA synthetases). tRNAs cope with the degeneracy of the genetic code in two manners: having more than one tRNA (with a specific anti-codon) for a particular amino acid; and 'wobble' base-pairing, i.e. permitting non-standard base-pairing at the 3rd anti-codon position.
Source: Rfam by way of RNAcentral
UCUCGAGUGGUCUAGUGGUUAGGACUCAGCGCUUUCAGCACUGUGGCCUGGGUUCAAUUCCUGGCCUGGGAA